Molecule: ribosomal RNA, 410 nt
Filed under: uncultured bacterium
Lineage: Bacteria
Description: bacterial SSU rRNA
Rfam family: Bacterial small subunit ribosomal RNA
Source: RNAcentral
UCGAGGAUCUUCGGCAAUGGGCGCAAGCCUGACCGAGCGACGCCGCGUGUGCGAUGAAGGCCUUCGGGUUGUAAAGCACUGUCGAGGGGGAGGAAGCCGCAAGGUUGACCUAUCCCUGGAGGAAGCACGGGCUAAGUUCGUGCCAGCAGCCGCGGUAAGACGAACCGUGCGAACGUUGUUCGGAAUCACUGGGCUUAAAGGGCGCGUAGGCGGGUUCCCAAGUCCGGGGUGAAAUCUUUCGGCUCAACCGGAAAAUAGCCCUGGAUACUGGGAGUCUCGAGCGAGGUAGGGGCAGCUGGAACUUCCGGUGGAGCGGUGAAAUGCGUUGAUAUCGGAAGGAACGCCGGUGGCGAAAGCGAGCUGCUGGACCUUUUCUGACGCUGAGGCGCGAAAGCCAGGGGAGCAAACGG